This 64-nucleotide transfer RNA is filed under the name Fabaeformiscandona kushiroensis. Its description in RNAcentral is "tRNA-Trp". The record is from RNAcentral. Lineage: Eukaryota; Metazoa; Arthropoda; Ostracoda; Podocopida; Candonidae.
AAAGCCUUAAGUUAAAGAAACUAUCAUCCUUCAAAGUUGGAAAUAAAUAUAUUUUUAGGCUUUA